This 758-nucleotide ribosomal RNA is filed under the name uncultured Prevotella sp. RNAcentral's name for it is "bacterial SSU rRNA". It matches the Rfam family "Bacterial small subunit ribosomal RNA", at positions 28 to 776 of the family's 1533-position model. Lineage: Bacteria; Pseudomonadati; Bacteroidota; Bacteroidia; Bacteroidales; Prevotellaceae. The record is from RNAcentral.
GAUGAACGCUAGCUACAGGCUUAACACAUGCAAGUCGAGGGGCAGCAUGGAAGAAGCUUGCUUCUUCUGAUGGCGACCGGCGCACGGGUGCGUAACGCGUAUCAAACCUGCCUCAUACUCGGGGAUAGCCUUGCGAAAGUAAGAUUAAUACCCGAUGUUGUUAUGUUUCCGCAUGGUGAUGUAACCAAAGAUUUAUCGGUAUGAGAUGGUGAUGCGUCCGAUUAGGUAGUAGGCGGGGUAACGGCCCACCUAGCCAUCGAUCGGUAGGGGUUCUGAGAGGAAGGUCCCCCACACUGGAACUGAGACACGGUCCAGACUCCUACGGGAGGCAGCAGUGAGGAAUAUUGGUCAAUGGACGCAAGUCUGAACCAGCCAAGUAGCGUGCAGGAUGACGGCCCUCUGGGUUGUAAACUGCUUUUAGUUGGGAAUAAAAAGAGGGACGUGUCCCUUCUUGUAUGUACCUUCAGAAAAAGGACCGGCUAAUUCCGUGCCAGCAGCCGCGGUAAUACGGAAGGUCCAGGCGUUAUCCGGAUUUAUUGGGUUUAAAGGGAGCGUAGGCGGAUUAUUAAGUCAGUGGUGAAAGACGGUGGCUCAACCAUCGUUAGCCAUUGAAACUGGUAGUCUUGAGUGCAGACAGGGAUGCUGGAACUCGUGGUGUAGCGGUGAAAUGCUUAGAUAUCACGAUGAACUCCGAUCGCGAAGGCAGGUGUCCGGGCUGCAACUGACGCUGAGGCUCGAAAGUGUGGGUAUCAAACAGG